GGAUACGCGGGAUCUUUUGCCGGGCCUGUCUUCGAGCCUCUGGAUCUCCCGAUUCUUAAACCCUACCACGUUGACUUCCUUUACAAAAGUUGUAGUACACAGACCAAGGUCCAACUUUUGUAAUUUGACCGAGUUCAAAAUCAUGGUGGAUUUGGAGAUUCAAAACUCCAAAGUUUGGAGGAACACCGGUUUUAAGGACUUAGAGAAAAACGGCGGCUUUGACUGGUUUUCAGGGUUCUGGGC
This 243-nucleotide long non-coding RNA is filed under the name Setaria italica (foxtail millet). RNAcentral's name for it is "long non-coding RNA (SITA_LNC003065)". Lineage: Eukaryota; Viridiplantae; Streptophyta; Magnoliopsida; Poales; Poaceae. The record is from RNAcentral.